AAGGAAGGCAGCAGGCGCGCAAAUUACCCACUCCUNGCACGGGGAGGUAGUGACGAAAAAUAACAAUUCGGGACUCCUUCGAGGCCCCGUAAUUGGAAUGAGUACACUUUAAAUCCUUUAACGAGGAUCCANNNNAGGGCAAGUCUGGUGCCAGCGAGCCGCGUAAUUCCAGCUCCAAUAGCGUAUAUUAAAGUUGCUGCAGUUAAAAAGCUCGUAGCUGGAUCUCGGGUCCAGGCUGGCCUCAGAGGUUCGAAGACGAUCAGAUACCGUCGUAGUUCUGACCAUAAACGAUGCCAACUAGCAAUCCGCCGGAGUUGCUUCAAUGACUCGGCGAGCAGCCCCCGGGAAACCAAAGUUUUUGGGUUCCGGGGGGAGUAUGGUUGCAAAGCUGAAACUUAAAGGAAUUGACGGAAGGGCACCACCAGGAGUGGAGC
Molecule: ribosomal RNA, 434 nt
Filed under: Ostrea stentina
Lineage: Eukaryota; Metazoa; Mollusca; Bivalvia; Ostreida; Ostreidae
Description: bacterial SSU rRNA
Rfam family: Eukaryotic small subunit ribosomal RNA
Source: RNAcentral